AAUACGUUCCCGGGCCUUGUACACACCGCCCGUCACAUCACGAAAGUGGAUUGUACUAGAAGUCCGUAUAACCGGCCCAAGGUAUGAUUCAUGAUUGGGGUG
This 102-nucleotide ribosomal RNA is filed under the name uncultured bacterium. RNAcentral's name for it is "partial 16S ribosomal RNA". It matches the Rfam family "Bacterial small subunit ribosomal RNA", at positions 1365 to 1482 of the family's 1533-position model. The record is from RNAcentral.